Molecule: ribosomal RNA, 483 nt
Filed under: uncultured bacterium
Lineage: Bacteria
Description: partial 16S ribosomal RNA
Rfam family: Bacterial small subunit ribosomal RNA
Source: RNAcentral
AUUGAACGCUGGCGGCAGGCCUAACACAUGCAAGUCGAGCGGAUGAAGGGAGCUUGCUCCUGGAUUCAGCGGCGGACGGGUGAGUAAUGCCUAGGAAUCUGCCUGGUAGUGGGGGAUAACGUCCGGAAACGGGCGCUAAUACCGCAUACGUCCUGAGGGAGAAAGUGGGGGAUCUUCGGACCUCACGCUAUCAGAUGAGCCUAGGUCGGAUUAGCUAGUUGGUGGGGUAAAGGCCUACCAAGGCGACGAUCCGUAACUGGUCUGAGAGGAUGAUCAGUCACACUGGAACUGAGACACGGUCCAGACUCCGACGGGAGGCAGCAGUGGGGAAUAUUGGACAAUGGGCGAAAGCCUGAUCCAGCCAUGCCGCGUGUGUGAAGAAGGUCUUCGGAUUGUAAAGCACUUUAAGUUGGGAGGAAGGGCAGUAAGUUAAUACCUUGCUGUUUUGACGUUACCAACAGAAUAAGCACCGGCUAACUUCGU